This is a long non-coding RNA of Ruditapes philippinarum (Manila clam), 874 nucleotides long. RefSeq lists it as uncharacterized. The transcript has 2 exons. NCBI's taxonomy places the organism in Eukaryota, Metazoa, Mollusca, Bivalvia, Venerida, Veneridae. The record is from RefSeq and is a predicted model, not a curated record.
GCUCAUAAAGCAAAGGAAAAACAGCGGAGAGGAAAAUAUCAAAGUAUUUCAACGUCAACCAGCGCAGAGAUUAAUGUAGAUGAAUCUCUUGUUUUAUCUAAAUGUUCAGAUGAAAAUGACAAUGACGAAGUAGAAUCAGUAGUAUCAGAAAAUUCAGACAGUGAUCAAAGUGAUUUUGAAUCAUCAGAUUGGAGUGAUGAAGAUCUUAGUGACACUGAUGUCGAUUCUUCAGACGAACAAAAAGACGAUGACGAUGAGUCAAAAAAUGACGAAAACGAAAGCUUUAUUUGACUUGUUUUCUACAUUUUCUUCUACUCAAACUUUAAGCCUGUGAUUAUUAAACUCAUUAUAACUGGUAUAUUACAACGUGUAGGGUAUAAACAAGUGUUUAUGUGUAUAAAUACCAUGAUUAUAUUAUCAUAUUUUCAUAAUGUUAUGUUAAAAGAUGAUUUGGUACUUACAAUUACCGUCUCUUUAUUUUAUACAGAAUAUAUUUUAGUUCGAUUGUUUUGGGAACUAUAUACAACCAGUGAGAUAAUAUUUCAAAAAGUAAUAACAAUCUUAAAAUGUCUGCACGAUUUUUUAUAGAUCAUAAUUGCUGUUUCGACACUAAAGGGUGAGACAUUCUUCGUCAGAGUAUGUUUUACUAUGUAAAAAUAUAUUUUAAAAUGCUUUAUUUGAAAUGUGUAAAAUUAUGCUGUUUAAUAUGUGGACAAGCUAUUUCACAAGUUUUAUAUUUGGAUUUUCGUUCUGAAUGUCAUAAUUUCAUGUUUUAUAUGAUGACAAAUGUCAGUUAAUAUAGAUCUGGAUGUAAGUAUGUUAUGUACAUAAAAUGUAUACCAGUGUUUAUUUUUCAUAUUAAAUACGAAUCAUU